GAUGAAGAACGUAGCGAAAUGCGAUACGUAAUGUGAAUUGCAGAAUUCAGUGAAUCAUCGAAUCUUUGAACGCACAUUGCGCCUGCCAGCACUCUGGCAGGCAUGCCUGUUCGAGCGUCAUUUCAACCAUCAAGCCCUAGGCUUGCGUUGGAGCCCUGCGGCUGCCGCAGGCCCCUAAAAGCAGUGGCGGGCUCGCUAUCACACCGAGUGCAGUAGAUUACUCUUCGCUCAGGGCGUGUGGCGGGUUCCAGCCGUGAAACCCCCUACUUCUCAAGGUUGACCUCGGAUCAGGUAGGAAUACCCCCUGAACUUAAGCAUAUCAAUAAGCGGAGGA
RNAcentral lists this unclassified non-coding RNA (334 nucleotides) under soil metagenome. Its description in RNAcentral is "partial contains 5.8S ribosomal RNA, internal transcribed spacer 2, and large subunit ribosomal RNA". The stretch from base 1 to 120 matches the Rfam family "5.8S ribosomal RNA", at positions 35 to 154 of the family's 154-position model. The record is from RNAcentral.